Molecule: transfer RNA, 73 nt
Filed under: Bacteroidota bacterium
Lineage: Bacteria; Pseudomonadati; Bacteroidota
Description: tRNA-Ala
Rfam family: tRNA
About the family: Transfer RNA (tRNA) molecules are approximately 80 nucleotides in length.
Source: RNAcentral
GGGCCCAUAGCUCAGUUGGUAGAGCGCUUGAAUGGCAUUCAAGAGGUCAGGGGUCCGAUUCCCCUUGGGUCCA